GCCCCCUGAGGGGAGCGCAAGCGGGACGGAGCGGGCGGCGGAGGUCCGUUGUGCGGGUGGGUGUCCCGUCGCCUCAGGCGGCGGCGUUGGAGGCGGCAGAAAGCGGCGCUGGGCAGCGCAGCGGGCGUCCGUGCGGUGGCGGUGAGCAGAGCGCCCGCAGACCCCGUCAGCCGCCUGAGCCCGUUCGUUCUGCCGCGCUCGUCGGGUGGAUGGGGUGGCACAGCACGGCCCGAUCGCUGCCACGCUGCUCAAACGGCGAGGGAGGGACAAGUCUUUGAGCUCUACAACAGCAAAGCCCUGGUUACGUGUGAUUUAUGUUUGUGAUGCUUAAUAAAUGCACGUCUGUGUGCGCUUAUGUAACUAUUCAGCAAGGCUCUGCGUACGGACGCCCGGCCGCUGUCGGUUCGCUGUGAGCGCGCAGGCCCAGCGGCAGCGCAGGGAGCGCACCGUGUGAGGGAGGGCAGAGCUGUGUGUGAGCACCAACGGGGUCGGUCACUGCAAAGACACGGUGAAGAAGAGUUAGUGUGGAAUACACAGGAGUCAGAACAGGAGGCAUUUAGAAGAGGCUGAGCUGUGAAGCCCGGGUGCUUGGUGGUACCGGUUUCAUUUCAGUCCAUUGCGAAGGCGGUGUCAACUGAGGUGUUGUGAUUGGAUGCAAAGGAAACAUCUUCCCUGUGAAGACUUUGAAGUGCUGGGGAGGCUUUGAGCACACAGGGACCUCCCAGCCUGAAUUAUCAGUAACAGAAAGAAGGCCGCUAUUUUGUUACCUCAAUAAUGCUAGAAAGGAUUAAGCCAAAAUUGGAUGCAAUAGAGUCAUUAAGGCUGGAAAAGGCCUCCAUGAUCACGUAGUCCAACUUCAGCCCAUCCCCACCAUGCCUGCUGCCCGCGUCCCUCAGUGCCACAGUGACUCCUCCAAGGACGGUGACUCCACCACCUCCCUGCGCAGCCCGUUCCAAUGCAUCACCACUCUUUCCGAGCAGAAUUUUUUCCUAACAUCCAACUCAGAAUCAUCAGUUAGUUUUGCUAUUUAUAAAAACACAAGUUAACUUGAUGGAAAUAGAAGACCCCACGUGACAGAAAAUGGUGGAACACUUGCCCAAGAUGCAGGUCUGUGGUACGUGUGUUAUUUCAUCUUGUUGGUGAUAUUGAUGCUCUGUGAUUACAUGCUGAAAAAUGGCGUGUGCAGAAAUGCAGUUCUUGACUCUUUAAUUGAAGACAGAGUUAAGUCCUGCAGCCCUAAGACACUUUUUCCUAGGAAGAAAUGAAAGUUUCUCCUUAAAAAAAUUCCAACGUUUUAUAGCUUUCAUACCUAUUAGUAAGAAAAGCAAAAACACAACAUAGACCUUAAUUUCCAUUUUCGGUAUCGUUGUACCGCAGUCAAACCUGAGUGAAAAACUUGGAGCAAAACUGCUUUUGUUGGCCGAUGGAAUUUGUUGCAGAAACGUAUGGCAAAGUGCAAGUAAUGGAGAAAUCUGUUUGGUUUCCUGCCAGUCCAGCAUGCAAACACCAAGUGCCUGCAGCAACGCCUUUAGACCAACAUCAGGAAGCUGAGUUACAAUUCCUGUGUGUGAACAGAAGUGAUGAGGUGCUCCCUAGAAACAACAAGGAGAUUAAGCCUAUCUGGGGGAAUUGGUAAGCGGGAAGUGUGAACAGUGCCGUUAGAUUGCAUUACGUGUCUGUACACAUGGGGGGGUCAGUUUUAUUUUCCCAUUUUGAAACGUGAGUUAUUUGUAGAGUUGGUAAGAAAUUUAAAAAAAAAAAAAAUUAUAGCUAAAAAGAAUGAUUCCUCCGAAAAUAAUGGUUAUACAUAAUGUGAACAUAAUCUGCAACAUGUCUGCAAAUGUGGUAAGAAUGAGUUUCUGUAUGUAGAAGUGCAGCUCUGUGGGGGUAGGAUGCUGAAGGCCGUUGGGGUGAGUUAUGCUUGUUUCUGAAGGAACCUUUUUCAGCUGUGAACUGCAGGUUUUGUUUGGCCAACCAUGGUUGCAGCUGCCUCACAUCACCACUAGUGGUCCUGGAAGGCCUGGAAGGGCCUAAUGGUACUCAUAAGAUGUUCCGGGGCUUUGGGCUGAUUUAUUAAACAGAGUUAAUUCAAAAGUGGCAAGCAGUUCUCUUGUUGCUGUAUGAUAUCAGAUCAACAGCAGUCCACGCUUCCCUUGCUGUUGACUCUGCAGUGCAAACAGGAGUAAAAAGCCAGUGCUGGCUUACUGGCCCCAGUGACACCCCCUGAUAUGUCUCCAAAUACUCAUCACUACAAGAGAUGCCCAACUCAGAGCCCUGCAUGUGUUUGACAGUCUGAUUUUUUCUGCUAAACGUAUACAGAGUUUAUACUUGUGUGACUCAUCACUUAACACCAAUCUGCAGCCAUGUUUACGAUUCUUCUGCAAACAUCCUUUAUAUACAUUACUGUGUUGGUUGUUCUGUGAAUUCACUGUUCUACAUGUUUUACAGUUGGAAUGGGAAACCUGAGAGGUUACUCUGGGGACGUUCAGUACUCACAGGCUGGGUGAUCUCAUUGCUAUUACGUAUGUAUGUGGUUAUUUCUCUGCUUUGGGUUUCUGGUCUGAAUUGCAACAUUCUUCUUUCAGUCAUGUUUUCAGUUUAUACACAUAGAAUGUUUAGUGUCAUUAGGAGAAAUAGCGUGGUUUUCAUUUAUUUCUAGUGUAAGUCUUUCCAUGUGUUUUAUGUCCGAUAUGAACUUUGGAGGAUGACAAAACCAGAAGUGUUUUGCUGUUUAGGGCAAAUUCCCAAGACCCAUGUUCCUAAUCACAGUGUGGCUGGAAAAGCCAGAAUGAGGAGCCAUGAAAUGGGACAGACCUGAAGCAAACCACUUGCUUUUCACUGACUCUUCCUUUUCCCUGUAUUUGGACUUAGUUCAGUCUCAUCUUUAUGGGUGGCAGUAGAUAAGCAGGAUAUGCACUUCUGCAUAUCUUAUUUAUGUCUCUUGAUCAGUUCAGUUUGAUAUCCAAGCAAUAGUCUUUCUGUUUUGCUCUAUUAAACUUCAGUGCUUUAGAUCUUUGCUGCAUUUUGUCUUUUGGUUCAGAUUUACCUGUCCUGUGAUGGAUAUUACUUCUGCUAAGCAGUUAUUCUACUUCAGGCCCUGCUCUAGUUUCUUAGAAUCAUAGAAUCAUAGAAUCCUUAGAGUUGGAAGGGACCUCUGAAGGCCAUCUAGUCCAACUUCCCUGCAAUGAACAGGGACAUGCGCAGCUACAUCAGGUUGCCCAGAGCCUGAUCCAGCCUGGCCUUGAAAAUCUGCAGCAAUGGGGCAUCAACCACAUCUCUGGGCAACCUGUGCCAGUGCCUCAUCACCCCUACUGUAGAAGACUUCUUUCUUUUAUCCAACCUAAAUCUAUGCUCUUUAAGCUUGAAUUAGGCCAUUGAAAGGCCAUUUCCCCUUGUUCUGUAACCACAGACCCUGCUAAGGAGCCUGUCCCCUUCUUCCCUGUAGCUCCCCUUUAGAUACUGAAAGACCACUAUCAGGUCACCUCGGAGCCUUCUCUUCUCCAGGCAGAACAGCCCCAGCUCUCUCAGUCUGUCCUCAUAGGAGAGGUGUUCCAUUCCAUGGAACAUUUUUGUACCCUCCUCUGGAUGUACUCCAACAGGUCCAUGUCUCUUCUGCACCGAGGACUCCACAUCUGGAUGCAGUACUCCAGGUGAGGCCUCACCAGUGCAGAGCAGAGGGGCAGGAUCACCUCCUUCACCCUGCUGGCCACGCUUCUUUUGAUGCAGCUCAGGAUAUGGUUGGCUUUCUGGGCUGCAAGGGCACAGUACUGGCUCAUGUCCAGCUUCCCAUCCACCAGCACCCCUAGGUCUUUUUUGGCAGGAUCUUUCUUCUUGCUACCUUUACUUUUUGCAAUGUCUCUUUUGUUUGCCCGUGGCUCAGUAGUAUCAGUUCUCUGGAACUCUCCUUGCACACUGCAGUUUAUUUCUAGUGCCGAUGCUCUCUCAGUCUGAGAAGCUGACGCACUGUGCUCAGUCCUUGCAGCUCUAUCAAUGACAUAACUGAGUUUGAGCUGUAGUUUAUUUAUAGGACUGUGAGAAGCUCAGAAGUUCUCAACAACUUGAGACAGCUUCCAUGUUCACAGACUUACGCCACUACAACCACCAUUUCUACUUACAAGCAAGUGACUUCUUUGGGCUUGUUUAUUAAACUAAGGGCUUUGCCCAUCAUAUCUAUUCCUGGUGAGAAGUUCUGACUUGUGUAGAUCAUAGGACACUUUCUCCUAAAAACUGAUACUCCAAACAAACCCUUUUCAGGUUGCAGAAAACUCCUCAGCCCUGACAUUCUGAACAUGUGAUCCAUGUGACAGAUCCUCUGGGGAUCCUGUAUAGACCAACUGAAUUUCUGUGCUUUAAUGAAUACAGAGUGCUUUGAGCUAUCUGAUUCCUGUUACCUUUCCUCAAGCUCCAGGCCAUUUCUAAAGCAAAAAAAGAAAACAGGAAAAAAAAAAAAAGAAAAGAAAAGAAAGAAAGAAGGAAAAAGAAAUAAAAAAGAUGUUUUAUCCAUGGCUAAAUGCCAGUCAUCCAAUUGUGAGAUUAGAAACAAAAGGUUGCAGGUGAAAAUCUGAUUCUGUGUGAAUUUGUCUUGUAUAUCAAUACCGUGUUAUGAAGCUUCUGAGUGCAGGCUCUGUGGUGUCUCUGACCCAGACCACUCAUUCUAACUAGAACAUCAGUUGACACAUUUCUUAUCUUCGUUUUUUCUGACCCAGAGAACAAACAGAUCCCUGGGGUUUGAUGAGAGAAAUGUUUGAUUUACAUGUUGUAAGUGUUUGUUUUUAAAAGGAUGACUGAGACUGGAAUUUUCCCAUAAGUAACCUCAAAAGAAAUCAUACUUGGGUAGAUGGCUCUAUGUGUAAAUCAGAACAGAGAUACUGGAGGCUUCUUAGGAUGUCCUUGUACUAGAUGGUGCUGAAACAGUGUUCAGAAAUAGAAUUCUGAAGAAGGGUUGGCAGGCUUUCAGUGAAUGGAGCAAGAAAGUGGAAGUGCCCUUACUGCACCAAUUGCUCCCUCCCCCACUUCCACAUAAAUAACAACGUUUACCCAAAUUCUCUUUAGUUUCCUGCCUCUCAGGACACUGCAUGGUAACAUUCCCUGAUGCUCCAUCUCUCGGAGUCUCUGUAAAGGAGAAAAUGCAGCAAUCAUCCUGGCAGGAUGCAGGAAAGCAGCAUUCAGCUAUUUGAAGUUCAAGUCAUUGAUGUAGUCUUUUGUGCAGUAAACAGAAGAAAUAAUGCUGUAGAGAUAAGAUGUUGCUGAAAACUUUAACUCUCAUUUGAAUAUAUUCUGUUCUAAGCAAGAAUAUGCAUAAUCAUAGAAUCACAGAAUCAUAGAAUUGCUCAGGUUGGAAAAGACCUUAAAGAUCACCAAAUCCAACCACAAUCUAACCACACUACCCUAACUAACAGCCCUCCGCUAAAUCCUGUCCCUGGGCACCACAUCUGAACUGUUUUUAAACACAUCUGGGGAUGGAGACUCAACCACCUCCCUGGGGAGCCUAUUCCAGUGCUUAACAACCCUUUUUGUAAAGAAGUUUCUCCUGAUAUCCAACCCAAACUUACCCUGGCGCAACUUAAGGCCAUUUCCCCUCGUCCUGUCACCUGUCACCAGUGAGAAGAGACCAACCCCGCUCUGCUGUAAGCACCUUUCAGGUAUUGGAAGAGAGCAAUAAGGUCUCCCCUCAGCCUCCUUUUCCCCAGACUAAACAGCCCCAGUUCCUUCAGUCUCUAAGUAAUCUUAAUUGUAGAAAUGUUGUCUGUCACAUUUUAAAGUGAUUUUGACACUUCCUACUCUCAGAAAGUGUUCAAGGAGUGUGAACAAAUAUUAUGGCCAAGGAGGCUGUGUAGCAGUACCUGUUCAGCCUCAACACAAUAAAGGAGCCCAAUGUGGACAUGCAGGUGUGUGUGGUUACAGGAAAUUAAAACAAACCACAAGAAACAUCUUUCUUCAAAGUGAUAACUCCUUAAAAAUGCCAUUGCAGUGUUUUUUGUGGGUGUCCUUCAGAGGUAAGAACUCAGAUUUGCUGUUCAAAAGGAAUAAAUCUUGUUGGAUCUGAAUAGUAUGCUUUCUCCAGCUAAUUAUGUGUAUGCCAAAUGUUAUGUUUGUUACAGAAUUAAUGUGUCUUAGAGCAGGUGACUCAGGCAAAAUUGUGGAACUUUCUUUUUGCCCUAAACUUCAGAGGAUGGUCCACAGGGAACUCAAGAGCUAUCGUUCUCUUCUAAGUUCUCGAUGGAAUGACUAGUAUAUUUAACGGGGAGGGAGCUCAUCAUCUAAUGGAUUGACUUUGAGAAUGUAAAUGGAGAACUACAGCACUAAUUUCUAGUGUCUCUUCCCUGAGCUUACUGCCUGACUUUGAGUAAGUCUGUUAAUUUGUAUGUUUGCUUUGCCAUUUGAAUCUUGCAGAAAUAAUAAUGACUUACUGUUGCAGAUGCUUUAAUGGCAAAAAGACAACAAAUUAUUGCGAAUCUGAUCCACAGAAUGAAGGCCAUACUCGGUUUUCAUUUAGACUUAAUUUUUAGACAAAAUCUCCAAGUUUUAACUUAAAACUGAUUAACAGGAUUACCUAUUAUAAUUUUUCUUUAUUGAUGCCUUGCUCUUCUUAUGACUGAAAUGCUUAGAGAUCAGCAGUGAGAAAGUUAACUGUGACAUUCCACUUCAAGUGUAUGGAGACAGACAGACAUCUAAAGGAUUAGUGUCACAAGCACAGGUUUUGAACUUAAGGGAUAUCCAUUGCAGACACGGUUUCCAUGUCACUGAUCAGGAAGUACACUUUUUCCUCUGAGAGCUGGUUGAAAUACUGUCCUUAUCUUCUAUUUACUGAAAUUAGGCCUUUUUAACACAUUGAAAGAUGUUGUUACAAGGGAGGUAUGGUUUGGAGAAGGUUUUUUUCCAGCUAUAUGAGAGCAGCUGUACUUCAUCAGGUUAGUUUGUCUGUCUCUCCCCACAGACUUUUCUUCUAUUAUGCCUGUAGUCCAUCACAUCUGCACCACCAUUACUGUCACUUACAGAUAAAGCUACAGUUUAUAGUAGUUCUACCUGAAUUUCCGUAGCUAUGGUGAUGGCCAUUAGUUGACCCAGAAGCUUUAAAAAGUGAAACAUAAUCUCUGUCAUUUCUGAUUUCCUGUGAUCUGUCCAGGAAGUGUCUCAGAAUGAAAGAAAAGCUAUGAAUUUGCCAGAUAAUGAAUCCGACUCUGUUCACGGUUCUUUCCUGUAGGCAAAAUUAUAGGUUUCUUGUAAACUUAAAGGAAGUGGAGUGAAGGAGUUCACUGGUGUGAUAACAGGAGCGUCCAAAUGGUUGAUUGGUGUUUGAGGAGAAAAUUGGGCUUUGGGCAUUAUUGGUUUUCAGGGAUACUGUAGGGCACUCUACAGUUGACCCUUUGGUCAGUGUGGAUCAGCUGUGCUGGCCAUGUCCCAUAGCAGCCUCCUGUCCAGCCUUGAUGCUGUACAAGCACUGCUUAGCAAUAACUAAAACACCUCUGCAUUAUCAACGCUUCUUUGGUCAUAAAUCUAAACCACAGCACCAUAUGGGCUGUUAGGGAGAGAAUUAGCUCCAUCCCAAGCAGAGUUACUCCAAGAAGAGAUGCUGAAGGACACCGCUGUUUUGGAGCAUUUGAAGGCUCUUUCAAGUUUCAUUUAAAAGAAAGCAAUGAUUUUUUUCCUCCAUUCUAGAAUGAGGAAAGCUGAAAUAGUGAGCAUGAAUGCUUCAGCUACAAAACAGCAAAAAGGCUUUGGAAAAGAGUGCAAAGAGGCAACUUUAUGGAUGUCAGAUAGUAGGGCCAGAGUUCCUGUGUGACUGUUGCUGAUAGAAAAAAUGGUGUUUAGAACAGAAAACAAUUAUUGUUUCCUCCCUGUGUUCACUUACAGAUUAAUGCCAACCUGUACCAGAAGGUUUUAUUUGAAGUAAAAUUUUCAGUCUCUCCUUUUCCCAUCUCUGGUAGUAAUGUCUCCAACCUCAGCAACCAUUCAAAAGUGUGUCUCCUGCACAUCAGUGUAGCCAAAUGAAACCAGAUUCUGCAAGAACAACACCUUCAAAAUGUAUUGGCAUAUCUCCAUAACAGCUGCAGAAUGUUUUUGCCACAAUUGAGCCAUGAUGCUGUCAUGCCAGAGGCUUUUCUGUAGCAAUUCUGGCAGAGCACAUGGCAUUCAAAGAGCUGUUUUCUUAAGGGUCAUCCCUGUGUGUUUAUUCCUGUAUUUUGUAGAGCAGUGAGGUGCUGUUUGUGCAGGUUGUGGAGCUAGCAAAUGCUGUGCUGCUGUCAGUACAGAGCUGGGCUCUGCUGGGCUGCUGCUGGCACUAUGGGAAAUGCACAGUCUGUUUCUCACUGAGGCACAACAGCAAGAGGAGUUUGCCCAAACUGCUGAUGCUGAUCUGGUCUGUAUCUCUCUCUGUGGCUCCUGGCUUGUCUUUAGGCUGGGUAGUUGAAUGAAACACAUUGUGAGAUGUGGUGAAAUGGCUAAGUGGAGCCUUUCAGAAAGCAUAUCACACUCAGGAUGGUGGGGGAUGGCAACAGUGUAUUACUCCUGUUAAUUCAGAAAGGUGACCCUGGGCAGUGUGAACAAAUGUCUCCCAUUUGAGUUUUGAUUUCAAGUCUGCUAGGGAGAUGUUCUUCGUUUUCCCAGCAUGUGCAUUACUGUUUUGAAAGUGAUACGGUGUUGAUGUUUGGGAAAGAUAAGUUGGGCAGAUAAGUGCGUGCAGCAACUGGUAUGGAAGCAAAGUGGGAAAUACCCACACCUCUUGUGUUGGACACGAGUAUGUGCUUUGACUCGUGGUGGUGAUCCAAAGAGCACUGUAAGUGGUUCAUACACAGAGGCCAUCCUGCCACGGACAUGGAAUGUGCCAUCCUGUCCUACUGCCCUGAGGUGUUGAAGGUGUCUGUUGUAUCAAAGUAUCCACGAUAAAGAAGGGGUUGCUUUGUGUCCUCUACGUUUGUUCUCACAGCCUGAGGCACGUAGCAUGUUUCCUGGCAGAUGGUUUUGAACCUGUAUCCUAUGCUCAGCACAUUCACUUUCACAAGAGUUGUUUGUGUGUGUGUUGCACUGUAUAAGUGAGAAGAGAAAGAUGAAAAUUUGCUUUACAUAUGAAACCGAUGAGCCCGUGUUUACUGAGAGGAUUGGCAGCACUUAUCACCAUCACUUUUUUGGUAUUUCACUUUCCAGAACUGCUGUCAGACAUCACUAAUUGUGUGUCAGGAGGUCAGCAUUUAUACACUGACAUCCUGCCACGUGUGCAGCCUUCCACAAAUGGCUCUCCCUCUGUAAAGAACAUCUCUACUUGGAUGCACUUAAUUUUUCGUAUUAAUCUGUGAGUCGUGUUGGUGUUUGGUUGAGUGUCAUAUCACAGUGAUCUGCAUACGAUAGUAAGGCUAUUUAAAGUCUGUUCAGUGAAUCCGGGUGCAUUGCUUCUUGGAUGUUUACUGGGAAAAUGAAGUACGAUGCACUUUUCGGAUGUGAUGCUGGACUCCAUUCAGUUUGCAGUGUUCUGAACCUUAUUUUCAAUUGUAUUUUUGUGCAGCAGAACACUGAGCACUCGAGUCUGUGUGCCAGGCAAGAGAAGCAGAAGCUGUAAGCGGGCAGCCCGAGCUCUGACGUUUCGGUGCACAAGAACAUGUCACGUUUCUCGUUCUGGAGGUCCCCUGUUCAGCCCUUGAUGUGUCAGGCAGGAAAGUGGCAGUCACAGCUGUGCUCGUGACUUUCUAAAAUGUUCUUGUCACUGGAAGAAGUUGGACUGAACCUGGGCAUAACCACAGCAGUGCCAUUACAGGAAAACUGCAGAGAAAAUUUGGUAUAGGUAAGGGUAGUGAGACUGAAGCACAUACUGAGUCAUAGGCUCUAGAAAAUUUAUAGGAUGCUGUUUGUAUGCCUUUCCCGUUUGCAUGACGCUGCACACCGAGAGAGAAGUGAUUCCCCGGGCUGAGAAUGACUCUGCAGUUGUGUGAUUGCUUUCCUGAGCCAGAUGGGUUUAAAAAUAGCUCUGCUUACUCAGAUGCAGCUGAUGAUUGAAGAAAAAUACCGCUCCGUGGUAAGGAUGGAACACCUAGUGUUUGUUUCCCAUAACCACAGCAAACAGAAAGCAAAGUGAAAAAGAAUUAAGGAGAGAACUCACAGCUUGUUUUUGGCAUUUGGGUUGGGUCCUUUGCGAGAACGAGCUCUUCAUAUUCCUUCUGACCUGUUCACGUCAAAUGGCUUUAAUAGGCACUAAGGUGCAGCGUACAGAAGAUCCCACAGACUUAAUGCAUCAUUCCCAUAUAAAGACAGAUUUUCCCAUAAAAAUUAAUGACAAAGCUUUUGAAAGAAACACUCUUCUGAUGUAAACAUUUCGGAGUCAAAACUUUGUUAGAAUUGCAUUUUAAAUAUUACAUAGAAAUUAUUGGGUCGUCUUAAGAGCUGGUUUUAUAUCAUUGGUUGACAGCUGUGUGCUUGCAUAGGCACACACAGUGUAUGUCUUACUGUGUGGUCUUUGCAAAUAUAGCACAGAAGUGGUACCACGUGCUGUAGGAAUAUGGAUGAGGAGUUCAGUUCAGUUGAGAACACUCAUGAAUUUUUUGGAGGUUUCUCUGGAGCCAUAGGUAAGAAUUGAGUUAUUGAUGACUGAAUACACUAACAAUAAUCUGGUUUUCUUUGGAGCAGUUUCAUAGCAAAACAUUGUGGAUCGCAUUCACAAUCCCUUAUGCCCCUUUCCUUCAGAUGCUCCAUGAGUUGCUGCAUUGAAAAAAAACUGAAAUGGAAGUAAUUCUACUGUGUUUUUGCUUUUUUUUUUUUUUCGCCCCAGUAACACUGGGAUGAUUCAUGGAGAGGUCAGGAACCAGAGGCCAUUUCUGUGUCCCUUGGACAGGACAGACCAAGCUUUCAGCUGACUGGGUGCCAGCACAUCACAUCAUGAUAGGUUUCAAGAUCACUUUCUGGUUGUUUUUCUCCACAAAUCAAAAGGGAUGGGAAGAUUCCUGUAGUUAGCACAGAAAAACGACUUCUGAGAAAUCCUCAAGCUGAAUUGCUUACAAGGGUGAAAUACUGGGUUGCAUUUACUUGUGGCCCACAGGAUCUUAUUAUUUAAAGGAGCAUUUCUGUGGUAGUUCUUGGUGAGAAAAGCUCUGCUUGGGCUUCAAUAAAUGAAACAAGCAGGUUCUGGAAAUCUUGAUCUUUAUUGAGCUGUCAUGGUACUCAAAACAAAAAGAAGUUAUUUCUGUGUUAAUACAGAUUUAUGAGUUCUGUAAUACAAAGAGGUCCUAAUCAUAUUUUACAGUAAGAUUUGUAAACAUUUCCCCAUUAGCAAUUGUUCCUUUUCUCUGUCUCACUUUUGUACUUUUUGUGAUCUAAAUAGGGGACUCUGACAUGUGUGGUUUUCAGUAAACUAAAAGGAAGUGCAUGCAGUGAGCUUACCAGGCGUGUCACCUCAAGAAGUAAGUUGGCUUGUCUCAUUGUUGUAGAAGCUGAUUUCUCAUUCAACAGAAAAAGAAGAAUCCUUAUUGCCUAAUUAAUAAAUGUGUUCAGUAGAGCCCUUUAUAAAGUGUUGAACAAAGCAAAGCAUACAUCGUAACUGGUUACCAGGAAACUGCUACAGAUAGAAUCUAUCACUUCUUAAAUACUGAUGUUUGUUCAAACUUGUGAUAUAUAUGCAACACUAAAGUCAAGUUAGCUGUUUAUUUGGCUCAGUGGAAAUAUACUGCAAAUUGCUAUUGUUUAUAGCAAUUGUGGUGAUAAUGUUCCUUAGCAUUCUUCAUCUGCUCAUGAAGCUGCUUACAAAAGAUCAGUAAGUGUAAGUCAGCUCUGAAGUGUAACUCCUGUUAGUGGUAGUAAGCCCUGGAUGAAGAGAAAUGAAGGGACAAUUAGAAGCACAGGCAGAGGAAAUCAGGUACAGUAAAACGUAAAGCAGCUGAAAUAGAGAAGAGUGUUAUCUAGAUAUAAAAUUCUGGAGGUUGCUGUUUUUUGGAACUAACGCAGUAAGCAAGAGACCAAGUGGAAUGCUCUGUGCUACCUAUUGGUUGUAAAGAUCCGUAGUUGUGCUUCAUAAGCACGUUCUGACAGUAGCACUCAUAUUUCCAUGCUAUCUCCAUGUGUUUUCUGUAGAAAGCAGAUAGAUGUGAAUCAGAAACAUCAAGCCAACUGAAGCCGGUGCACCAAUAGGACAAUGUGCUCUUCUGCAGGUUCUGCCUGUCACCAUUUUCCCAUAAUAAAUGUUACACUUUACGCCCUGCCUCCCACUUUCCUUUUAUGUUACCAGUAAAGGCUACCCUGUUUUUAGUAAUACUCUUUACUGUAGCCAAUGUAGGGAAGACUUCCACUUUCCUUCUAGAGAGGAGAGGUUCGGUUCUUCUUCUCCCUGAUUUUUCUUUCUCAUCUCAUUUCAAAUAACCCCAACCUCUAUUUCAGAUCUGAUUAAUUUAAACAUAGCACGGGAAAGCCAUUGAAAGUAGAUUUAUCGUUCAUCAGAGCUGAUAGUCAGCCUGUAUCUGUUGUCUUUUCCCACAAUUGCUCAGGUUUCUGUUUCUGUCCUGCACUCUCAUGUUCAGCCCUGCUGCUUUCCUUCUAUUAUUACAGUGUUACCAAAGCUGCUGGUGGACGUUAAUAUAGUACUGGUUUAUUUCAAAGGAACUUCAAAAAGCCUCCAUCUGAUGGCUGAGAAAUCAAACUGAGCUUAUGGAAGGAGCUGAGAAGUGAUGCUGUUAAAAAAAAACCCUCAGCUACUGUCAUCAGUUUCAGUAAACUGCUGAUCUAAAGAACAUCAGGUAGCGGAAGGCUGUGUUAACCUUGCAACUGUUGAUCAUCUUCAUUUGUAAGAGUGAGAUUUUUCAUUGAACAUCCUUUAAUAUAUUGGCAAUGGAGUGCUACACCAAAUCUCAGCUUCCUUGCUUUCCUUGUGGCUGGUGUUUUGGGUGCCAGGAAGCAGCUGGGACUCCUGGCAAGGAGAAAGGAAAGGGCAAGUAGCAGAGUGGACAUUCUGACUGCUCUAUUUCCCUUCCUUUUUGCAGCAUUUCUGAGUUCUUUGAUUUGGAAAGCCAGUUAUUUUGUAUUAUAUGUCUCUUUUCUGAUCCAUGGAGAAGUUCUGGGCUUUGUCCAGGUUGCUGGGCAUCUGGAUGCUGCAGGUUUGGUUUUCUGCUUCUUACUUUUGAAAGGACAGCAGAGCCAGCAGGAACGGAGCUGUUUUGCAUCUUCUGCUCAGAAGCAAUUUGAUCUCAACAACUUUUCAUAAUCAAUGCCUUCCAUAUGGUUUGAAGUGAUUUUAUGUGACUUCCUCAUACACCAAUAUCACCUAAUUUGUUUGACUCAAUAAAUGAAAAACAGAAAUGGCUUUAAAUGAUAAGACGUUGAGUGGAGAGCCAAAGUAUAAAAUGCUGAGCAGGUCAGUUCUCCUUUUGCUUCUUCAUGGCUGAAUGCUGUAAUUAGAUGGAUUAAAUUUUCCCCUCUCAAUUUAAUCCUACCAGGAGAAUUGCAUUACCCAGCCAGCACCCUCCUCUAGCUGGUAUUGCAGAUCCGGUAAUUGACUGUGGACAGAGAGAGAAGGCACUGUGCAUGGGUUUGUUCAGGGACUCUCAGAUCCAUCGCGUGAGUCACCCAUAGGAGAAACCCUUCUGGAUAAUGCUUCUUUUGUCUGUACAUAUUGGUGUGUAUUUUGAAUUUUGCUUUGUUUGCUUUUCCCACACAUUCAUCGGAACCGCAAUAAUAAAGAGAUUAUCUUUCUUCUUUUCCCAA
Molecule: long non-coding RNA, 13674 nt
Organism: Gallus gallus (chicken)
Lineage: Eukaryota; Metazoa; Chordata; Aves; Galliformes; Phasianidae
Exons: 2
Source: RefSeq, a predicted model, not a curated record